Molecule: RNA transcript, 2499 nt
Organism: Beta vulgaris subsp. vulgaris (sugar beet)
Lineage: Eukaryota; Viridiplantae; Streptophyta; Magnoliopsida; Caryophyllales; Amaranthaceae
Gene name: pentatricopeptide repeat-containing protein At3g02650, mitochondrial
Exons: 3
Source: RefSeq, a predicted model, not a curated record
GAUCCCUAUCCAGGGAUUCUCAAAACUACAGCAACAGCCAAAGUAAGCCCUAGGUGUGACUUUCGAUUACCAUUACCCAGAACACCCAAGAAAAAAACCCUACUACAGAAUACAGAUACAGAGCUAUUGAACAAGAGAGAUGUGGAGAUCCAUUGCAUCAAAAUCUUCACUCACUAGAAAUUUUGGACGAAAGUUGUUUUCUUUGCAAAACCCACGAUCUCAGGUAAUACAUAAACCCCUGAAUUCAUCACCAUUUUCUUCACAUAUAUCAUCCACGCAACAUUUCCAUCAUCAAAAUCACAGGUUUUUAUCUCAUUCUUCUUCUAUAAGUGAAUUUGAAACUGAGAAUCAUGAUGCCACUUCUUCUGAAGAGUUAGAAUUGGAAAAUGGUGAGGGUUUUGAUGACACCCAUGUUGCUAGUUCUUCAAAAAAUUAUGAAUUGACUCAUGAAUUUGAUGAGAAUGCUGAAAAUAAUGAUGCCCAGAUAGUUGGUUUUAGCUCAAAUGAUCAGGAAUUAAAAGGGGUUGUUAAUGAAGGAAUUUCUGUGAUUGAUGUUGAAAAAUUGGAAAAUGUGUUGUCUUUGCUUCAAAGUAGUGUAGAUGGGUCUUUAGAGUCUAAUCUUGAUAACAUAGAUUUGAGAUUGAGUGAGGAGUUUGUGGUGAGAGUGCUUAAAACCCCACUUAUUCCUGGGGAUCAUUUGAUUUGGUUUUGCAAAUGGGUUUCGAGUAGAAACGAUUUUGAAGUUACUACCUUGGUUUUGAAUGAGCUUGCCCGUGCUAUUUGCAAUGAUCCUGCACUUAAAAGGAAAGAUGUUUAUGCUUUGUGGGAUAUGACAAAGGAAAUAGGUGAGAAAGAGAGUGGGUUGCUUAACGCCGAAAUACUGAAUCAGUUGUUAUCGGCAUUCUCGAAAUUGGGCAAGGGAAAGGCUGCAUUUGAGGUAUUUGGGAAGUUUGAGGAACUUGGUUGUGUUCCGAAUGUAGACACUUAUUAUUUUACUAUUGAAGCACUUUGCAAGAGGUCGUUCUAUGACUGGGCUACAUUAGUUUGCCAGAAAAUGCUUGAUGCUAAAAUGCUACCCGAAAGUGAGAAGGUUGGUGAGAUCAUAUCUUUGUACUGCAAAGGCCAUAGGUCCAAAGAGGCCCAUGUUGUCUAUCUUGCAGCAAAGGAGAACAAUAGAUAUCCUCCUCAGAAGGCGGUUAAUUUUUUGGUAAGUUGUCUAUCGAAGGUGGAUGAAACUGUGAACUUAGCACAGGAGAUGCUGGUUGAUUUUUCUGGUGAAGUUCGUAAACAUGCUAUCAAUCCAUUCUCGUGGGUGAUUCGUGGUUUGUGUAGAAAAAAAGACAUUGAGGGGGCAAAGAAAUUAUUCAAUGAGAUGAUAGUGGAAGGCCCACCUCCUGGAAAUGGAGUCUUUAAUGUUAUCAUCAAUUCUCUCUCUAAAGCUGGAGAUUUGGAAGAGGCCAAAGACAUGCUGAAACUGAUGGAGAGUAGGGGACUUAAGCCCGAUGUUUACAGUUAUAGUGUCAUAAUUAGUGGUUAUUCAAAGGGUGGUUUGAUGGAAGAAGCGUGCAAAGUCUUGUCAAUGGCCAAAAAAGAACAUCCCAAGCUCUGCCCUGCUACCUUUCACACGCUCAUUCGAGGGUAUUGCAAUCUCCGAGAUUUUGAUAAUGCUUUGAAGUUGCUGAGUGAGAUGAAGGACUAUGGGGUUGAAGCUAAUGUAGAUGAGUACAAUAAGUUGAUUCAAUCACUUUGUUUGAAGGCCUUGGAUUGGAAAAAGGCGGAGAAGCUGCUGGAAGAAAUGAAGGAGAAAAAUUUGCAUCUUCCUGGUAUUACUAGAGGUCUCAUAAAUGCAGUGAAAGAGUUGGAGCAAGAGGCAAUUGGGUCUGAAGAAGCGCAAUCCAAAACUGUAGUAGAUUAGUGGCUGAAGCUGCCUCUGUUCCCUUUUUUUUUGUGCAUGCGGAACCCAUAAUAAAUUAGCAUCACAUGAGUUGCACAAACAGCUUGAGGCAUUCAACUUCUACUCCUUGUACAUUGUGUUAAGGAUGAUGGAGCCAGGAAGACGAGGGAGAGAUUCAGGUACAGGAUGCCCCAGCCUCAACCCCAACAGGAGAUUCUCAUGAAAUUCGACCAUUACUUUGGAUAUUGAGAAGAUGUUGGAAAAUAUGUAAGUUCAGUCCUCCCCGGCCCCUGCCCCUGCCCCUCCAUGAUUGGUAAUCCUUCAGCAAGCAGUAUAAGUGAAGAAUGUCCAAAGUACUCUCGAGUCUCUAAACCGAUCUAGCCAACUCGUUUGAUAUCCCCAUUUGGGAGGCUUUUGCUUUAAUGUUAAAGCAAGAAAGUCCGAACAGACGUCUUUCUAUGCCAUUCUUGAUUUGCUUGCGUCAAGCUAACCUUAUGAAAUGGUCCUGAACUGCUGAGUGAGAAGUGCUUACGAAUACGUUCAUGGAUCUUUUCUUCUUGUAUUGACAAUUUAAUGGUGAUUUACUGAUAUUGUUCGUUUAUCAA